Molecule: ribosomal RNA, 493 nt
Filed under: uncultured bacterium
Lineage: Bacteria
Description: partial 16S ribosomal RNA
Rfam family: Bacterial small subunit ribosomal RNA
Source: RNAcentral
AUUGAACGCUGGCGGCAUGCUUUACACAUGCAAGUCGAACGGUAACAGGUUAAGCUGACGAGUGGCGAACGGGUGAGUAAUGCAUCGGAACGUGCCCGAUCGUGGGGGAUAACGCAGCGAAAGCUGCGCUAAUACCGCAUACGAUCUGAGGAUGAAAGCGGGGGACCGUAAGGCCUCGCGCGAUCGGAGCGGCCGAUGUCAGAUUAGGUAGUUGGUGGGGUAAAGGCUCACCAAGCCAACGAUCUGUAGCUGGUGUGAGAGGACGACCAGCCACACUGGGACUGAGACGCGGGCCAGAAUCCUGCGGGAGGCAGCAGUGGGGAAUUUUGGACAAUGGGCGAAAGCCUGAUCCAGCAAUGCAGCGUGCAGGAAGAAGGCCUUCGGGUUGUAAACUGCUUUUGUACGGAGCGAAAAGGUCCCCUCUAAUACAGGGGGCUCAUGACGGUACCGUAAGAAUAAGCACCGGCUAACUACGUGCCAGCCGCCGCGGUAA